UACAGAGGUCCCAAGCGUUGUUCGGAUUCACUGGGCGUAAAGGGUGCGUAGGUGGCGGGGUAAGUUUGGUGUGAAAUCUCCCGGCUCAACUGGGAGGGUGCGCCGAAUACUGAAUGACUUCGAGUGCGGGAGAGGAAAGUGGAAUUCCUGGUGUAGCGGUGAAAUGCGUAGAUAUCAGGAGGAACACCGGUGGUGUAGACGGCUUUCUGGACCGUAACUGACGCUGAGACACGAAAGCGUGGGUAGCAAACAGG
RNAcentral lists this ribosomal RNA (254 nucleotides) under uncultured prokaryote. RNAcentral's name for it is "partial 16S ribosomal RNA". It matches the Rfam family "Bacterial small subunit ribosomal RNA", at positions 524 to 776 of the family's 1533-position model. The record is from RNAcentral.